CAAAUGGUGAAGGGUAUUCAAAGAUCGGCCCAGCCGAACUUACAGCUUUUAAACUUGUUUAUCUUGAUUUGUCUAUUACCUUACCAUUGAAUCAUUUAUUUGUUUCACGAUUGUUAUUGUUAAUUUUCUGUUCUUCUUGGUUACUAUAUCAGUAAUUAUACCCUCCACCAUAGUAUGGAGGGUAUAUAAGGUUUGUUAUUCAGUUUGGAACACCUCUAAAUAUACAUUUAAGACCCCACAAAGCAUAUAUAUUCUUGACCAGCAUAAAUUCUAUCACUCCAGCUUCCUAACGAAAUAAAGUAGGUUGAUAAAAUUUUGCUCAAAUGUAUUUUGAUGAUUUUAGCGAUAUUAUUCAUUGCUUCAAAUUUGGUAUUUGAAGUUCGUAAUGUAUAUUACAGCCUAUGACAGAAUAUUGUAUGUGCAGGUCCACGUCUUCGUAUAGCCCCACAUAACGGCACCUCCCGAUAUUCGGUGUUUUGAUGAUUUUAGCGACAUUAUUCAAUGGAAUUGUUUCAAAUUUGGUAUUUAAAAUUUGUAAGGAAUACUACGAUCUAUGACGGCAAAUUGUCUGUGCAGAUCCACGUCUUCGUAUAGCUCCAUAUAACGGUACCUCCCGAUAUUUGGUAUAUUGAUGAUUUUAGCUACAUUAUUCACCGGAAUUAUUUUAAAUUUGUUAUUUGAAGUUCGUAAUGGACACUAAAGCCUAAGACAGAAAAUUGUCUGUGCAGGUCCACGAUAUCGUAUAGCCCCAUAUAACGGCACCUCCCGGUAUUCGGUGUUUUGAUGAUUUUAGCGACAUUAUUCACCGGAAUUGUUUCAAAUUUUGGUAUUUGAAGUUCGUAGUGGUUGCUACAGCCUAAGACAGAAGAUUGUCUGUGCAGGUCAACGAUUUGGUAUCGCCCCCAUAUAUGGUAUUCGGUAUUUUGAUGAUUUUACCUACAUUAUUCACCGAAGUUAUUUUUAAGUUUCGCAUUGGAAUGCUGUAAUGGUUUAUGGCAAAAGUUUCCUAAGCAGGUCCACGUCGUCGUAUAGACCAUAAUAUAACGGCUACAUUCGGUAUUUUUAAGAUUUAAACAUAUUUUUUUAACGUAUUUUAUUUUUAAAAAUUGCCAAAUUCGUUCCAAUUUGUGGAGGAUAUUCAAUAUUCGGCCCGGCCUAACUUACGGUUUUUUUAAUUGUUUUUCUUUGUCAUUGUUAAGAUAAAAUGAGAAAUUAGCGGGACGAUUGGAAACGGUACAGAUUAUCCAUAGCUUCAGGAAAAUAUACCGAAAAUCUGUUUUAUCCAUGGCGAUUGGAACAUGCUAAUAUGUUGUCAUCACAGUGAGCCCACACUUCCUUCCUUAUACCGUAUAAACUCCAGAUCAAGAUCAAAAUGAAAAUUUUGUUUCAUAAAUCCAUAGUCAUACCCCUACUUUACCGAACCCGUACAACUCAAUUUAAAACAUGUUUACAACAAACACUCGAUUUAUUGAAAAAAAUUCCAAAUUAUUAUAUGAGUGAGGAUAUUGAAUUCUCUCAAUUCUCUAAUGUUAAAAAUAGCAUAAACUUUAGGAUAUUUGUCUGUUGAAAAUUGAUCCAGAAAAUAUGAAAAGCAAACAUUAUGUGAUGACAUCAAAAAAUGCGAGAAUAAUCAAGUAAAAUUCUUGAUAUACGAUGCAAUGUGUUUUCGAAAUGUGUUUUUUCCGCGUAAACCAGCAUGUUGACUGAGAGCCAUCUAUAUAAAAAAAUAAUUUUCCAGUGUCUAUAUUUUCUAAGUGCAUGCAUUACCCCUGAAAAUAAGUAUAUACUGCUUGAUCGAUUUUAGCAGCUGUGGACUAGUUACAACAUUGUCCUAUGUAAUGCAGUCACGGACCAUGUCAUUGUCAAUCAAGAAUUUUUUGGUUAAGAAAAAUAACGGCAAGCGUUCGUUUUUUAUCGAUUGCUCAUAAAGUUGUUGUUUUGCGCAAGCGUUAGUUUUUUUGAAGGCACGAGUUUUUUGUUUUGUUUUGUUUUUUUUUUUGGGCACAAAUUUGAUACUGUUUUUUAGUUAGUUUCUGGAAGCAUUGUGCGGUAGUUUAAUCGUUUUGCGUGGUGUUAAAAGGCAAAGAAAAGAGUGUGUAAACACAAGAAACAGAUUAAAACCCAACACUUAUUAUCUACACAAUUCUAACUGUUAUUGUCUACACAAUUAUACAACAAUUGUAAUGGAAGGCAGAAAUCUAAAACAUCUAAAUGCUUGCAACAGACUUUAUAAUUACUGUGCCAAACAAAUGCUCUUUUUGCAUAGAACUCAAAGAAAUGAUCAACACUCAAAAUCAAGUAAUGGCUAGUAAAAUGGCUGAACAAAAAAUAUAUAGCAACAGCUCUCAAAAUUACAAAAACAACAAAACAAAAUAAUAGUGGAAAUGUUAGCAGACCACAAAAUACAGCUGCAAACCCUCAAUAGUUCCCAAAAAAUGUAACUACCCUGAUAAGCAAAUUUCCCCUCAAAUCCGAAGAAGAUCUUCAAAAAGUAGAGAGUGAAAUAUGCGAUUCGAAUGAAGGAAAAUAUAUAUCUGCUGUAAAGUAUUUAAUCGAUGGCAACCCAUUAAAAAAUUUCGAACGCAUUUUUCCCGAGAGAUAUGCAUAAUGUACCAUACGUAUGGAACUUGUAGGAAAAAAUGCUUAAUAGAUUUUAAAAGAAUAUAUAAAAUUGUUAUUGCCGAGUAUUCUGACUUUAAAGGGUUAUUUAGUUUUAAUGACUGUCUUUAUUUCAGAUGCAAUAUGUGACUACUCCCCCAAAAGUAAAAAGGAAUUUCGAGCAGCACUCCAAGUUCUUAAAAAAGCACUUCCGGGUUGUUUGAUCCCAAAUCAAAAACAAAAAUUAAUUUUAACUUUUUUUCAUUACAUUGUAUAACUGUGAAUUGGAGCAUAAUUUAAGUUUUCUUUUUAAAUAGAAUUUAUUAUUUAUCUUUCCUUUUUUCAUUGAAAAGUACCUGCAAAUUGAAUUACUUAUUUAUAUGUUUUAUACAAUACACAAAUACGCUGUUUAAUUUCUUGUUUUUUUUCUGUAUAUAUAUAUCGUUAAAACUGUUAUAAUUUCGUAGCUGUUCAUAUUAAAUUCACAUUAAAAUAAUCUAUAAAUUAUUAUUUAUCAUAUUAAGCUUAAAGUGCUAAGUAAGAUUAACAGUAUUAAAAAUAUGUACACUCAGAGAAAAGCGCAAAAGUACUCUAUGGACUAUUUUGGAUUAGUUUUGAACUACCCCUGGUCUGUUAUGGACUACUUUUUAGACGCGUGCAUGAAUUAGUCGCAUUAUUUGCAGGGAAUAGUUACAAAGAUUCAAUUGUUCACUAAAACACUCAAUGGCAUUGUUAAAGAAGCAUCUCACAUCAAAAUUUUGGCUCAGAGUUUAAUCAAUUUUGUUGAUAACAUUUUGUAAAAUUAACAUACCAAGUAACAAAAAAAACGGAUUGAUGGACAUGUAUCCAUUUUUUAAACUAGCACGCACAAUAACAUUAGCAUGUAACUGGUACAGCACUGUACAAAAAUUAUCCCCUAUGUCAAUUAGAAUAUGGCUGAGUCCUAUAAGAAAUCCAAUUUAAUAUUUUAUCGAAAUUUAAAUUUUGCAAGAGUUAAUAAUCAAAGCCCAUUGAAGUUGCACAACAACAUCUAUUAGUUUACGCACAUUUAAUAGUUUUACUUCAAAAUAUUUCCAGUAACCGUACAAUGUAUCAAUUCACAUUUCAAACAAUUUCCAAGAUCACAAUAAUCGUCAUCAACUAAGUUCACCUGAGGGUGUUUGUCAGUUCACCUACAAGACGCGUCCGCACGGCGGAUAGGGGGGAUGGAUGAUCACACUAUUUUGCUCGAACUAUGGAGUCUAGCUACGAACUGGGUGGAGCGGAAUAGUGUGAUCACCCGUCCCAGGGAGUUUUUACUCCCCGCGGACAAAAAACUGACUACGGGGGUGUUCCCCAAAAACAAAAAAACCAACAUGGAAGAAGGAAUAAAGAAAGAAAAAGUUACGGUGCAGGGCCAAAUAACCCAGUACCGACGGGUGUUUGUGAUCCAGCCACGAGUCACACCCUGUCGUCAUCCAACGAUCGUGUGCAAAUUUCUCCCGCAGAUGUGAGUGCCUUGGCAUCUGCGGUCGAAGGUAUUGCUACAAGCACGCAGCCUCCGGGCAACAAACCAGACAAAGGGUCUGAGGAACUCAGGGGAAGCAUACGCUCGACCCAGCCUUCAAUGGCAGGUUCCGAGUCCGACAGCAGCAGCAACAAAACUACCGUCCUGCGAAUCCCUACUAAGGAAGAGGCGCACAACACGAUAGAAGAAGUGAGUGACAGCGAAGCUGUCUGGGCCCAACGGCGAAAGCUCAAAAGACAACAAAACAGCAAAAAUGAUAAGGCGCAGGAUGUUCCAAAGGGGGCUACAAAUACUGCCCCCACUCCGUUGGAGGCAGGGAAGAAAGUAAGGUCCCUUGAAGGACAGAGCUCUAUGAAGCCGGCGAAAAAGAGCUACCCACCUGCAGACGCACCGGGUAAACUACGUCAAGGUCCUCGCAAAAUAGGCUGUAACAAGAAUCCUUUAGCCGAGGGCGACAAGGUUAGGCAAGCACUGGAAAGGUGCGAACGACCGUGAAAUCUACUGCUAAAUCAGGGGUUUCCGAAAAUAAAUCCCUGGCCCAACAGAAGAGGAAACGGACCGAGGAAAAGGGUACAAAGCCGCCUUUUUACGCAAAGACAGCCAAAAACACUUGAGGGACGAAAUGCAUUAUGCAUUGACCGAUACCAACAAAGGUUUAGUCAACUUGCAUAAAGACCAUUUGGAAGCUUUAGAGGAAAUGGUCAAUAAGAAAAUAUUGGAUGACAUCAUGGAAGGUGGAGAUCCAAUACCUAUCGUGAGCAGCGGAAGAAUAAUAAAAGUGCUCUUGAAGCUUACGGUAUACGUCAGAGGAUUUUGCAGCAAAUUCGAGAUGGAACGUAUGCUCGAAGUCUUUGGAAGGCAAAAUAAGACUUUGGAUGUGAAGAGAUGGGAAGUCUUUCACAGGGAGGAGAAGGAGGAUGUGAUUGGAGUUGACGAUCUCUCCAUGGCCAGUCUGACAAAGACUAAGGGUAUGACAUUCUAUGUCUCGAACGCUGUCAGGUUCAAAAAUAAUAAGGAGACGAAGAUACGAAGUGUAGCAGCAAGGAGGAGAAAGAUGACCCCUCAAGCAACACACAAGGAGGGUGUCGGUGACAAAAUUACCGACUCUCAACAAGCCCGUAUAUUGGAGGACCAAUGAUCGAGAUCUUCCAAAUCCACCUUCAUCGGAGCGGGACGGCAACCUUGACUCUGAUGAAACUAAUAAAUUCAGAGUUGUCAACAUCGGACGCAACAGUGCUUAGGCAGGGGAAUGGAAACAUAUACCUAGCGUCAGUAUACCUACCGUUCGACGCGCCGACAUUACCACCUUCAUCGGAACUGCAGCGGCUUGUGAGCAAAACAUAACAAACUGGUAACGAAGUACUUGUAUGUGGCGAUGCUAACUCUCACCACAUUGCGUGGGGUAGUACUAACAUUAAUAAAAGUGCCCAGUCCCUACCAGAUUUUCUAAAUACUAACGACCUAAUAAUUCUUAACAUUGGGAAUAAAGCGACCUUUGUAAACAAAAUUAGAGAGGAGGUUUUAGACAUUACCUUUUGUUCAGGAAAUCUUAUAAACGAGAUUCAGAAUUGGAGGGUUUCGGAAGAACACCUUUUCUCGGAUCAUAGGUAUAUAAGGUUUGAACUAACAGGGCUCCCGCCGAACCCAAUACGUUUCCGGAACAAAUCGCAGACUGACUGGAUGAAGUAUAGGAGACUAGUAAAAGAGAAGCUAGGGCAGGAAAUUGAAUGUCUAAGCACAGACGACGUAGACAGAGAUUGUUCACAUCGGGAGAGGAAAUCUGCCUACGAAAAACGCUGGAUGACAGGGGAAAUUCGUAACAAAGAAAAAGAGAAACCAGCAGUAUUCUGGGACAGCUACCAUAACAAACUAAAAGAAUACAACAAAAUAGUAAGAACAGUUAAACGAAGCACCUGGAAGAUUUUCUGCGAAUAGGAUGAUAGCGUGAAUGAUGUCUCAAAAAUAAAAAAGUUUCUUUCAAAAACCCAUACACAAGCCGAGACAAUGGUGGAUUAUAUGGUUGCGACUGAGGAUGCACCUAAAAUUGAUGAAUCUAUGGUAAAGGAAGCCGUCAGAAGUUUCAAACCGUUUAAAGCAGCACGACCAGAUAUAGUCUUCCCGACUCUGCUCCAAAAGGAAGUGGACAUUAUCUCGUCCAACUUAGCCGGAAUUUUCAACUCGUGCCUAAAGUUUGCGUAUACCCCUAAAGCCUGGCAAGAAUCCAGGGUAGUUUUUAUGCCCAAACCUGGGAAGGCAAGCUCAGUUAUACCCAAGUCUUAUCGACCGAUAAGUCAAACGAUAUUCUCAAAUAAAAGGAGCAUGUAUACGUUAAAGGACGUUCAUUGGAAACCGCAUUACAUGAGGUUGUACACCACAUCGAGAGCACCUUCGGUAAGAAGAUGUUUACACUAGCAGUAUGCAUUGACAUCGAAAGUGCGUUCAACAAUGUCAGCACAGAUACACCCGUCCAAUCCUUAGAUAAGGUCGACCGGGGCCUAAGACACUGGGUAAACCACAUGCUAAUGAAUAGAGGGAUAAGCUGUGGGCUAUAUAACGUUAAAAUAAGGCACAAAGUUGGUCAAGGAACUCCACAGGGAGGGAUAUUAUCACCCCUCCUGUGGUUUACUACCAUUAACAGUCUUCUAAGGACAUUAACCAAAGAAAGCUUUGAACCAGUCUGUUAUGCAGACGACGUUAUAAUACUUCUGAGGGGAAAGAACCCUAACUUGCUGUGCAGAUGGGCCGAGUCGGCUCUGAAACUUGCAUACACUUGGGCCAGACCGGGAGGUCUUAACGUUAACCCGGAAAAAACUGAGAUAUGUCUAUGUUCACUAGGAAAAGAAAACUGGGCCAUAUCGUUGAACCGGUCUUCCUGAACAAGACGAUCAAUAUUUCCAAUAAGAUACGAUAUGAAGCAGCCGUCGUGGCCUUAGGGCUUAGGGCGACGGACGAGUGGAUAAACAAAGACCACGCUACAUACCAUCAAACAAUUUUACAGGUAACAACGGGAGAAUCUAUAGAAAAUUUUGUAUCGGACCGGAUAUCUGAAACUUUUGUAGCUGCCUCAUGUGAAACAUUAAUCCCUACCAGAGACUCGUGGAUCGACGAAUUCCUACCACAAAUGCCGACUGGAAACUGUUGUUAAACAGACGGCUCAAUGCCUAGGGAGAGAGCGGGACAGCAAGUCAGCUAUAAUGGCUAUAACAUCCAAAACAGUAACUUCAAAAACUGUUUUAGUAUGUAUAAAUUCAAUCAACAACUACUCUCAACACGGCGUAGUACGCAUUAUAUGGGUACCAGGUCAUACGGGAGUUAGGGGUAACGAGAUAGCAAACUCUCUCGCCAAAACAGGCAGGGAAUUAGCAACAAUAAGCGUAGGCAAUCCAGUGCCGCUCAAUGCGUCACGUCUAGUGUUAAAGACAUGGGCAAAAAACGCCCACACAUCCCUAUGGAACAAUGAGGGUGUAGAGAAAACCACAAAAAUCUUCUGGGUCGAUCGAGAUGAGAUAAAAACGAAAAACCUUUUAUUAGUGAGGUAAUAGGCAACCUUACGGGGCACCUGGGCCUACAAGCUCAUCUGUACAAGAUAGGAUGUGCAGAAAACAGCAUAUACAGGGCAUGUGGGAAAGGUGACGAAACAUUGGAACAUUUUCUCUGCCAAUGCCCAGCGUGUGCUAAUUUCAGAUCCCAAUUCAUAGGGAACAACUCCACACCAGACCUUAAUCAGACCAUGGUAAAUGAUAUAAGACAGUUAAGAAAUUUCAUAAAGGCAACUUAUAUUCAAAUAUAACAGACUGUAAACUGCUGGCAAAUUUAUAGGUUUAUGUAGCCCGCAUUAUACACAUCAAAAUACAAAAUACUUUGCGCAUUACGUUUGAUGUUCACAGUUGAAAAGGCAGAGUAACUGAUCAAAAUGUCUGCGUUCCUACUGGCUUUUCUAACCUCGACUAAUUCAAUUGAGUAAAGAAGUUUAUGUUAUUUUUCACAUCCGAAAGUACUGCCAGAAAUAAUAUCUUCGGAUCCGUUCCAGAGUCUUUCGGAACUACGUUAUGUGAUCUCUUUCGUUGUUCAUUUUAAAACAGGUACCCUUGACGUUUCAAGGCACAUUUAGCCAGCCUGGUACUUAAGACUGUCUAGGACAUGAACCA
Long non-coding RNA from Musca domestica (house fly), 8253 nucleotides. RefSeq lists it as uncharacterized. The transcript has 7 exons. The record is from RefSeq and is a predicted model, not a curated record. NCBI's taxonomy places the organism in Eukaryota, Metazoa, Arthropoda, Insecta, Diptera, Muscidae.